Molecule: non-coding RNA, 44 nt
Organism: Trichobilharzia regenti
Lineage: Eukaryota; Metazoa; Platyhelminthes; Trematoda; Strigeidida; Schistosomatidae
Source: Rfam
AUCCAGCUGACGAGACCAGAUAUGACGAAAUGCGCAUCCUGGAU